Molecule: ribosomal RNA, 74 nt
Filed under: Geobacillus stearothermophilus ATCC 12980
Lineage: Bacteria; Bacillati; Bacillota; Bacilli; Caryophanales; Anoxybacillaceae
Source: RNAcentral
CCUAGUGGUGAUAGCGGAGGGGAAACACCCGUUCCCAUCCCGAACACGGAAGUUAAGCCCUCCAGCGCCGAUGG